RNAcentral lists this ribosomal RNA (462 nucleotides) under uncultured bacterium. RNAcentral describes it as "partial 16S ribosomal RNA". It matches the Rfam family "Bacterial small subunit ribosomal RNA", at positions 28 to 507 of the family's 1533-position model. The record is from RNAcentral.
GAUGAACGCUGACAGAAUGCUUAACACAUGCAAGUCAUUGGCGAAGCUGCGCUUGCGCAGUCUAGCCAAGGCGGACGGGUGAGUAACGCGUAAGGAACUUGCCCUGCAGACAGGGAUAACAGACGGAAACGACUGAUAACACCUGGUAUUGUCAGGCUGGCGCAUGCCGGCCUGAUGAAAGGAGACGCUGCAGGAGAGCCUUGCGUCCUAUUAGCUAGUUGGUGGGGUAACGGCCCACCAAGGCGAUGAUAGGUAGCCGGCCUGAGAGGGUGAACGGCCACAAGGGGACUGAGAUACGGCCCUUACUCCUACGGGAGGCAGCAGUGGGGAAUAUUGGACAAGGGGGGCAACCCUGAUCCAGCAAUUCUGUGUGCACGAAGAAGGUUUUCGGAUUGUAAAGUGCUUUCAGCAGGGAAGAAGAAAGUGACGGUACCUGCAGAAGAAGCGACGGCUAAAUACGUG